UAUGGCCAUAUAGCAUUGAAACACCAGUUACCAUACAAUCAGCAAAGUUAAGCAAUGUCAAGCCUAGUCAGUACCUAGAUGGGUAACCGCUUGGGAAUACCAGAUGCUGUAAG
Molecule: ribosomal RNA, 113 nt
Filed under: Acanthosepion pharaonis
Lineage: Eukaryota; Metazoa; Mollusca; Cephalopoda; Sepiida; Sepiidae
Source: RNAcentral